UCCACUGACAUUUCCUUACACUCUGUCACUUAUACCCUUAACUACCGAACUAAGAGGCUGGAUGCCAGUGCCACGCUAUCUGCACACAUUUCCUUUCCUCAGACAAAUCUAGUUUAGGUUCCGGCAUUCCUCUAAGAUUUCUCCAGCUGCACUCCCAGCAGCUUGAAGGCCUGAAGACCAGGAAGCAGCACUUCUGUCUAAGAUGCCCCCCCUGUGCACCGCUCAGCCUUGCUACCCUGCCAAGUGAAAACCAGGAGACUUAACAGAGCUGCUCUGGAGUAAUAAACAGCUUGGUGCCCUGAGGCCUGCAUCCAGAGAUGGUCCACUCUUGAACUUCAGGACAAACCUAAGCAAAGAAGGAGGAAAGAUGCCAAUGGUCCUUCUAAGGAAUUCAUAUAGAAUACCAUACGGAUAAAGGCUACUCCUUGAAUUCCUUCCCUUUAAGUUUAAAAUUAUAAAACCCUUAGAACGACUCUAUGU
This is a long non-coding RNA of Cavia porcellus (domestic guinea pig), 480 nucleotides long. RefSeq lists it as uncharacterized. The record is from RefSeq and is a predicted model, not a curated record. Lineage: Eukaryota; Metazoa; Chordata; Mammalia; Rodentia; Caviidae. The transcript is spliced from 2 exons.